UACAGAGGUCUCAAGCGUUGUUCGGAUUCAUUGGGCGUAAAGGGCGCGUAGGCGGUGCGGUGCGGUUUCGGUGAAAUCCCUCGGCCCAACCGAGGAACAGCCGAGGCUACGGCCGUGCUAGACGGCAUCAGGGGACAGUGGAACUCCCGGUGGAGCGGUGAAAUGCGUAGAUAUCGGGAGGAACGCCGGUGGCGAAAGCGACUGUCUGGGGUGCCUGUGACGCUGAGGCGCGAAAGCCAGGGGAUCAAACGGG
This 253-nucleotide ribosomal RNA is filed under the name uncultured bacterium. RNAcentral's name for it is "partial 16S ribosomal RNA". It matches the Rfam family "Bacterial small subunit ribosomal RNA", at positions 524 to 776 of the family's 1533-position model. The record is from RNAcentral.